CAGCAGCCGCGGGAAUACGGAGGAUCCAAGCGUUAUCCGGAUUUAUUGGGUUUAAAGGGUGCGUAGGUGGCCUGUUAAGUCAGGGGUGAAGGACGGUAGCUCAACUAUCGCAGUGCCCUUGAUACUGAUGGGCUUGAAUGAACUAGAGGUAGGCGGAAUGUGACAAGUAGCGGUGAAAUGCAUAGAUAUGUCACAGAACACCAAUUGCGAAGGCAGCUUACUAUGUUGUCAUUGACACUGAGGCACGAAAGCGUGGGGAUCAAACAGGAUUAGAUACCCCAGUAGUCCCUGUCUCUUAUAC
RNAcentral lists this ribosomal RNA (301 nucleotides) under uncultured bacterium. RNAcentral describes it as "partial 16S ribosomal RNA". It matches the Rfam family "Bacterial small subunit ribosomal RNA", at positions 509 to 807 of the family's 1533-position model. The record is from RNAcentral.